AUCUGCCACCCAUUACUUUUUUUUUUUCUCUGAUCUCAGAAGUUAAGUAGGGUCGGGCCUGGUUAGUACUUGGAUGAGAGACCGCCUGGAAAUACUAGGUGCUGUAGAUU
This is a ribosomal RNA of Rhinopithecus bieti (black snub-nosed monkey), 110 nucleotides long. The record is from Ensembl. Lineage: Eukaryota; Metazoa; Chordata; Mammalia; Primates; Cercopithecidae.